UCUCUCUUCUCUCCACAAGGUGAGUGUGUUUUUCUUUUUCUAGAUUCUCCUUCUCGUCUCUCUCUCUGUUUCGUUUUUUCUCUGCAGUGAGGAUGGCACACAACAUUCCAAUGGGCGGAGCGAUCCAGCUCAAGCGAGACUUGGAGGAACUUCUCCACGGCACUGAGGCCGCUUUCAUCCCCACCCUCCGCCAGCUCGACCUCGCCGCCAACACGGGUGGAGGCCCGCUAUGCCGUGACCCGUCGAGCUCCAUUUUAUCGAGCACGAAAACUCGCUUCUCC
This 281-nucleotide long non-coding RNA is filed under the name Selaginella moellendorffii. Its description in RNAcentral is "long non-coding RNA (SMOE_LNC002473)". Lineage: Eukaryota; Viridiplantae; Streptophyta; Lycopodiopsida; Selaginellales; Selaginellaceae. The record is from RNAcentral.